Molecule: long non-coding RNA, 545 nt
Filed under: Olea europaea (common olive)
Lineage: Eukaryota; Viridiplantae; Streptophyta; Magnoliopsida; Lamiales; Oleaceae
Description: long non-coding RNA (OEUR_LNC011141)
Source: RNAcentral
UGUCCAGCAUUCAGUCUCUUGUUAUCCCAAUUAAGAGCAAAUUCUUCAGAUGCUUGGCGCUUUGUUCCAAUAGCUUCAAAUAUAAAGAAUACACAAAAUUAGCGACAUGCUCAAACCAUUUGACCCAUUCUAGACAUGCAGCGCAUUUGACAAAUGAUAGUAUAAGAAAAUAGAUUACAAAAAUAUAAAACUUAACUCAUGUAACAUAAUACACUGGAGGAUGGUGGAUGCCAAUACAAACCUAAAUAAGUCCAAGUGAUAGGAGGGUAAAAGAAGAAAAUAUCACCAGUGUGCUGCUUUCACCAAAAACAAUAAGUGUUUUUCCCGUGAACAUUAGUAGAGGUAAUAAGGUUUCUGAAAACGUGGAUGCUCAAUUUUAAACUCUCUGGAAUUCAAUUUUCAGUUGAUCUUGGGCUGAAUGUUAGUCUUUCAUUUAGAAACCCUUGCUGGAUAUUUUCCAUUGAUCUUGUAUAUAGUCAACUAGUCUUUGCCAACCCCAAGCCACCGGCCAACCCCACCGACUGUUCCCCCACUCUCGCCCCCAC